Molecule: RNA transcript, 4104 nt
Organism: Cuculus canorus (common cuckoo)
Lineage: Eukaryota; Metazoa; Chordata; Aves; Cuculiformes; Cuculidae
Gene: BMP1
Gene name: bone morphogenetic protein 1
Exons: 18
Source: RefSeq, a predicted model, not a curated record
GGCAAAGAAGGGAAGGAAACAGAGAAGAGAGGGAGUUAAAAAAAAAAAUAACCCGCCUCUCCUGGCCGGCCGGAGCUAUGGCCGGGCUGCGGAGCUGCGGGCUGCUCCUCUGCCUGCUCCUGGCCCGGGCCAUGCACUACCCGGACUAUUCCUACGUGCUGGAGGAGGAGGAGGAGGAUGAAGAGCCCCUGGAGUACAAGGAUCCCUGCAAAGCCGCUGCCUUUCUGGGAGACAUCGCCCUGGAUGAGGAGGACUUGAAGCUCUUCCAGGUGGACCGGGUGGUGGACCUGGCACGCCGCACCAUCACUCGCUUGCCCACCAACUCCUCAGGUAGCAAUGCCACCAGUGCCAGCGUGCGGCCGGGCCACCAAGCACACCACCGGGGCUGGCAACGGGCACGGAGCCGCCGUGCUGCCACGUCCCGGCCAGAGAGAGUGUGGCCGGACGGGGUCAUCCCCUAUGUGAUCAGCGGCAACUUCAGCGGCAGCCAGCGAGCCAUCUUCCGGCAGGCGAUGCGGCACUGGGAGAAGCACACCUGCGUCACCUUCCUGGAGCGCAACGACGAGGACAGCUACAUUGUCUUCACCUACCGCCCCUGCGGGUGCUGUUCCUACGUGGGGCGCCGAGGAGGAGGCCCCCAGGCUAUCUCCAUUGGCAAAAACUGUGACAAAUUCGGCAUCGUGGUGCAUGAGCUGGGCCACGUCAUCGGCUUUUGGCACGAGCACACGCGUCCUGAUCGGGAUGACCAUGUCUCCAUCAUCCGGGAGAACAUUCAGCCAGGGCAGGAGUACAACUUCUUGAAGAUGGAGCCGGAGGAGGUGGAAUCGCUGGGCGAGACGUACGAUUUCGACAGCAUCAUGCACUAUGCCAGGAACACCUUCUCCAGGGGCAUCUUCCUUGACACCAUCCUGCCCAAGUACGAUGUGAACGGUGUCCGGCCCGCCAUCGGCCAGAGGACACGGCUGAGCAAAGGGGACAUCGCCCAAGCCCGCAAGCUCUACCGCUGCCCGGCCUGUGGGGAGACGCUCCAGGACAGCCAGGGCAACUUCUCCUCCCCUGAGUUCCCCAACGGAUACUCUGCCCACAUGCACUGCAUCUGGAGGAUCUCCGUCACCCCCGGAGAGAAGAUCAUCCUGAAUUUCACCACCCUGGACCUCUACCGAAGCCGGCUGUGCUGGUACGACUACGUGGAGGUGAGAGACGGGUUCUGGAGAAAGGCCACGCUGCGAGGCAGGUUCUGCGGGAACAAGCUGCCCGAACCCAUCAUCUCUACUGACAGCCGCCUCUGGGUUGAGUUUCGGAGCAGCAGCAACUGGGUGGGCAAAGGCUUCUUCGCUGUCUACGAAGCCAUCUGCGGAGGGGAUGUGAAGAAGGACAAUGGGCACAUCCAGUCCCCCAACUACCCUGAUGACUACCGGCCCAGCAAGGUGUGCGUCUGGAAGAUCACAGUCUCUGAGGGCUUCCAUGUGGGCUUGACCUUCCAGUCAUUCGAGAUUGAGCGACACGAUAGCUGCGCCUAUGACUACCUGGAGAUCCGGGACGGCAGCAGUGAGUCGAGCAGCCUCAUCGGGCGCUACUGUGGCUAUGACAAACCAGACGACAUCAAGAGCACCUCCAACAAGCUCUGGAUGAAAUUCGUCUCCGACGGCUCCAUCAACAAAGCAGGCUUCGCUGUCAACUUCUUCAAAGAAGUGGAUGAGUGCUCGCGUCCCAACAACGGCGGCUGUGAGCAGCGCUGUGUCAACACGCUGGGCAGCUACAAAUGUGCCUGCGACCCUGGCUACGAGCUGGCUUCCGACAAGCGCCGCUGCGAGGCUGCCUGCGGAGGUUUCCUCACCAAGCUCAAUGGCUCCAUCACCAGCCCGGGGUGGCCCAAGGAGUAUCCCCCAAACAAGAACUGCAUCUGGCAACUGGUGGCCCCCACCCAGUACCGCAUCUCCCUGCAGUUCGACUUCUUCGAGACUGAGGGCAAUGACGUCUGCAAAUAUGACUUUGUGGAGGUGCGCAGUGGGCUGACCGCUGACUCCAAGCUGCAUGGCAAGUUCUGUGGCGCCGAGAAGCCAGAUGUCAUCACCUCCCAGUACAACAACAUGAGGAUCGAGUUCAAGUCAGACAACACCGUCUCCAAAAAGGGCUUCAAAGCUCAUUUCUUCUCAGUUGGGUUUCACCUUCAGUUGGGUCUUGGGGAGCGUAGGGAUGGGAAUUCGGAGGAAAACACACCAUCAGCUGCAGCUGAGCAUCACCCAGAGCUAGCCCCUGGGCUGGGAGAUGCUGCAGGACCCUCGGGGAAGAGAGGGUCCUCCUCGACACAGUACCCUGGACAUCAGCGACAAACAGCACCUCUAGGACAGGCUGGGCUGGACUCAAUCACCAAUGUCUUGCACUUCCACUGCCUUUUCGCCCCAUCAAGGCUGUUUUUGAGGGGCAGCAUAGCCACUGGGCUGCAGAGAGCUGCAGAAAUCAGCAUCCCUAGGAGCUCUUGGGGUUCCCCAUGGCAGCCAAGAGCAGCAGAGACCUGUGGGCCGCGGGUGGAGUAUCUUUGCUUUAUGUUUUCAAUUAAAACCAAGGCAAGUAAGGUGGCCCAGUGGGGGCCCAGACAUCAGGAGCAAAGCAAGACCUCAGGAAAGCCCAGCGGCCGAGCAGCAGCAGGACCAUGGGUGCAGCUGGGUCUUGGGCUCUCCAGGCAGCAGGACCACUCUGGAGGACUCAGCCACACCAGAGUCCCUCCUGCGGUCCCCUCCUUGGGGUCGCUGCUGGUCCCUGGGCAAAGCAUCUCCCACGUGCGGCUUUUUUUUAGCCGCUUGAGAGUCUCUGUGCUCCUUCCCUGCUGCUCUGGACACGGAUAGACACCGAUCCCUGUCCCUCGGUGCCGCGAGCAGCCUGGCCACCUGGGCACCCAUUUUCCCCUUGGUGAAGAUGUGGCUCCUUCCUCAUCCUCCUCCUCCUCUUCAUGGGCUGGGGCGAUGGGAGGCAGCAGCUGGCUCCAUCGGCUCAGGCAGAAGGAUGCAUUCGCCCAGGAAUCCUCCGUGGUGUCAGCACCCAGAGAAGAAGCAGCAGCUGCAGCCCCCAAAAUCUCGCCCGCCUGGCGUGAAGCUUCGACCGCAGAAGCGGCCGCGGGUCCCAUCCUGAGCCACGCCGUCCUCUCCAUCUCUCUCAGGAACUCCGCGGCCAUGGGUGCCGCACAGAAGCACGCCAGGGCCGAGCCGAGUCGAGCCAAGCCGUGCAACCGGCCCUGGCAGCUCCUUGCUUGACAGAACUGGUUUUUGGCCUUAUUUUUAAUAUUUUUUUCCUUUAUUUUUUGUCUUAAGCCCCCUCCCUGUCCCAUCCCUGUUGGUUUUGGUCAUUGACCAGCUGACCUUGGUUUUUUUUUUAUCCCCCUCUCCCAAUUUUUACUGUGUCUGUGACAUUUCCCUAUCGAUGAGUAAAGAGGGACUUCCAUGUCCUGGUCUUUCUUGUGCAUCUUUUCGUUGUCACUGUGUGUUUUUCUGCCUUCCCCGUCCGUACCGUAAGCAGGUAAUGGUUCUUGUACCCAUGGGAGAGCCCAGGGAGAGAAGGACACAUCCUGUCCCCCAGCUCGGGGAAGGGAGAGGAGAACCCAUCCCAUCCCCUCGCUUGGGAAAGGGAGAGGUGGACCCAUGCCGUCCCCUGAGUCAGGGAAGGGAGAGGAGAACCCAUCUCAUCCCUUGGCUUGGGGAAGGGGAGAGGUGGACCCAUCCCAUCCCCUGGCUCAGGGAAGGGAGAGGAACUCGUCCCAACCCUUGGCUCGGGGAAGGGAGAGGAGAACCCAUCCCAACCCUUGGCUUGGGGAAGGGAGAGGGGAACCUAUCCCAACCCUUGGCUCGGGGAAGAGAGAGGAGAACCUAUCCCAAUCCUUGGCUCAGGGAAGGGAGAGAGGGACCCAUCCCAUCCUCUGGCUUGGGAAAGGGAUGGGGGAUCUGCUUGCUGCUGGCCUUAGGCACUUGCUUGGCUCCCCCAGGGCAGCGGCGUGGGGCUGGCGACCAGCACGCACCGAGCGGGGCUGUUUCAUGCGGGGCUGGGAUGCCAUGCUGGGAUGCCGGCUGCUGGGUUUUCCUGUCCCACUCAACCAUGUUGCCUCUGCUCUCU